GCCUGGUUAGCUCAGCUGGUUAGAGCGUCGUACUAAUAUCUUUCUUACCUUGUGAGAUAUCAAGUCAUGCGAAGGUCAACAGUUCAAUCCUGUUACUGGGCA
Immersiella caudata is the source of this 102-nucleotide non-coding RNA. NCBI's taxonomy places the organism in Eukaryota, Fungi, Ascomycota, Sordariomycetes, Sordariales, Lasiosphaeriaceae. The record is from the annotation of a GenBank genome assembly.